CACGUAGGGCGCGAGCGUUGUCCGGAAUCAUUGGGCGUAAAGAGCGUGUAGGCGGCUCGGUAAGUCCGCUGUGAAAGUCCAGGGCUCAACCCUGGAAUGCCGGUGGAAACUGUCGAGCUAGAGUCCGGAAGAGGCGAGUGGAAUUCCUGGUGUAGCGGUGAAAUGCGUAGAGAUCCGGAGGAACACCGACGGCGCAGGCAGCGCCCUAGACGAGACCUGACGCUCAGGCACGAAAGCGCGGGGAGCGAACAGG
RNAcentral lists this ribosomal RNA (253 nucleotides) under uncultured bacterium. RNAcentral's name for it is "partial 16S ribosomal RNA". It matches the Rfam family "Bacterial small subunit ribosomal RNA", at positions 524 to 776 of the family's 1533-position model. The record is from RNAcentral.